RNAcentral lists this ribosomal RNA (338 nucleotides) under uncultured Fusibacter sp. RNAcentral's name for it is "bacterial SSU rRNA". It matches the Rfam family "Bacterial small subunit ribosomal RNA", at positions 1045 to 1382 of the family's 1533-position model. Lineage: Bacteria; Bacillati; Bacillota; Clostridia; Eubacteriales; Fusibacteraceae. The record is from RNAcentral.
AUGGUUGUCGUCAGCUCGUGUCGUGAGAUGUUGGGUUAAGUCCCGCAACGAGCGCAACCCUUGUGUUUAGUUGCAAACAGGUCAAGCUGUGCACUCUAGACAGACUGCCGUGGACAACACGGAGGAAGGUGGGGAUGACGUCAAAUCAUCAUGCCCCUUAUGAUCUGGGCUACACACGUGCUACAAUGGCCGGUACAACGGGCAGCGAAGGAGCGAUCCGGAGCGAAUCCUAAAAAGCCGGUCCCAGUUCGGAUUGCAGGCUGAAACUCGCCUACAUGAAGUUGGAGUUGCUAGUAAUCGCGAAUCAGAAUGUCGCGGUGAAUGCGUUCCCGGGUCUU